This 89-nucleotide microRNA precursor is filed under the name Haemonchus placei. RNAcentral describes it as "mir-5886 microRNA precursor family". It matches the Rfam family "mir-5886 microRNA precursor family". Lineage: Eukaryota; Metazoa; Nematoda; Chromadorea; Rhabditida; Trichostrongylidae. The record is from Rfam by way of RNAcentral.
AUUUCAUUUUCUUCGAACUGAGUCAUUGAUGUGUUCUUGUAUAAUGCUAAGAAUAUUCUUUGACUUUGGUUUGAAGAACUAUAUGCAAU